Molecule: long non-coding RNA, 646 nt
Organism: Schistocerca piceifrons (Central American locust)
Lineage: Eukaryota; Metazoa; Arthropoda; Insecta; Orthoptera; Acrididae
Exons: 3
Source: RefSeq, a predicted model, not a curated record
GUUGGACGCUAACGGCAGUUAGCCUCCAGACUUGUAUCUGUGUAGAAGCUAAGUGUGAAUAAAUCUGUAUCUGAGUGAAUUCUAGUUGUUUACCUACAACUAUUCCAUAUUCCGUCACUUCAUUAUUUAAACCAAUAAUUCGACCUGACCUUUGUGGUAGAAGGAACUGUUCAAAAGCGGGCUUUUUUGAUAGAUUCAGUUAAUUGAAUGAGGUGGGGCAGGUGGUCACGUAUCAAAACAUGGGUUCUCAUCAACUUCAGCACCUUAUGGAAUCCACACCAUGAAGAGUCAUUGCUGUCAUCUUGGAAUAAGGACUACACUCACUACAAGCUCUUGGGGAAGAAUGGGCUGCCAUUGUUCCACAGACAUUCAGACAUUGCACUGAAAACGUCCCCAGCCGAGUUCAAGCUGACAUAAAUGUGAAUGGUGGAUACGUCCCACAAUAGUGUCCACUAAUAGGUGUCUGGAUACUUUUGACAAGAUAGUGUAUUUGUUGAAGCUGUAGAGUAAGUGAACCAUCCUCUUGAUUAUUUUGGAUUAACAAGAAUAUUGUAUCCCAGUUCAUGUACUGAAGAGUUGUUUACGAAAAUGUUACAUUUCAAUGAACACAUUUUACAUUACCUCCUAUGAGUGGUGUAUUCUCAUU